CCCUUAGAUGUUCUGGGCCGCACGCGUGCUACAAUGGCAAAAUCAACGAGUAUACCUUUGUCGACAGACAUGGGAAAUCUUUUCAGUUCUUGCCGUGAUGGGGCUAGACCCUUGUAAUUGUUGGUCUCCAACGAGGAAUUCCUAGUAAACGCAAGUCAUCAGCUUGCAUUGAUUACGUCCCUGCCCUUUGUACACACCGCCCGUCGCACCUACCGAUUGAACGGUCCGGUGAAAUCUUGGGAUUUGCUUUGCUUUCGUUUAUUCGAUGCUCGGCGAAGUACUUGAGUAAACCUUACCGUUUAGAGGAAGGUGAAGUCGUAACA
RNAcentral lists this ribosomal RNA (323 nucleotides) under uncultured eukaryote. Its description in RNAcentral is "partial 18S ribosomal RNA". It matches the Rfam family "Eukaryotic small subunit ribosomal RNA", at positions 1470 to 1796 of the family's 1831-position model. The record is from RNAcentral.